CACGUAGGGCGCAAGCGUUGUCCGGAAUUACUGGGCGUAAAGGGCGCGUAGGCGGCCUUCUAAGUCGAACGUGAAAUCCCCGGGCUCAACCCGGGAACUGCGUCCGAUACUGGAAGGCUUGAAUCCGGGAGAGGGAUGCGGAAUUCCAGGUGUAGCGGUGAAAUGCGUAGAUAUCUGGAGGAACACCGGUGGCGAAGGCGGCAUCCUGGGCCAACACUGACGCUCAGGCACGAAAGCGUGGGGAGCAAACAGG
Molecule: ribosomal RNA, 253 nt
Filed under: uncultured bacterium
Lineage: Bacteria
Description: partial 16S ribosomal RNA
Rfam family: Bacterial small subunit ribosomal RNA
Source: RNAcentral